Molecule: non-coding RNA, 360 nt
Organism: Colossoma macropomum (tambaqui)
Lineage: Eukaryota; Metazoa; Chordata; Actinopteri; Characiformes; Serrasalmidae
Source: the annotation of a RefSeq genome assembly
AUGAAGAGAAACAUCCUCAUCAUUCUCAUCAUCACAUCAGGUGUGUUUGGUGCUGAUCAAAUUGGACCUUCAGAUGAUCAGGAGACUGAUGUUUCUGCAAAAGAGGGAGAAUCUGUUACGCUGAAAUGCUCUUAUGAAACAAGUAGUGAAGGGGUUCGGCUCUACUGGUACAGACAGUAUCCUAACAGAGCUCUACAGUAUUUACUGUUUAAAGAGGCUCGACUGUGGAGUGGUAGCCAUACAUCAGAUGAUAGAUUUCAGUCUACUACAUCCAGAUCAUCCACUGAGUUCACUGUUACAGAACUAAUACUGGCAGAUACAGCUCUCUACUACUGUGCUCUUAGAGUUGGAGCCCAGUGA